AUGAGAAAAUUAAGGCUGGUGCACUUCCAGUUCAUAACCGACCGAAUUCGAUCUAGGCUGGCGGGAUGGAAGGGCCGGCUCAUGAGCAUGGCUGGCAGGCGAGUCCUCGUGCGUGCGGUGCUAACUGCGCUGCCAGUGUUUGCCAUGACCGUCCUCAAGGUCCCAAAGAAAAUCCUAAGAGAAGUGGACAAGGCUCGCAGGCAGUUCCUCUGGGCGCAGGACGAGAAAAUCACCGGGGCCAAAUGC
Molecule: ribosomal RNA, 246 nt
Filed under: Triticum aestivum (bread wheat)
Lineage: Eukaryota; Viridiplantae; Streptophyta; Magnoliopsida; Poales; Poaceae
Description: partial small subunit ribosomal RNA
Source: RNAcentral